AGUGAACGCUGGCGGUAGGCCUAACACAUGCAAGUCGAACGGCAGCACAGUAAGAGCUUGCUCUUACGGGUGGCGAGUGGCGGACGGGUGAGGAAUACAUCGGAAUCUACUUUUUCGUGGGGGAUAACGUAGGGAAACUUACGCUAAUACCGCAUACGACCUACGGGUGAAAGCAGGGGAUCUUCGGACCUUGCGCGGUUGAAUGAGCCGAUGUCGGAUAGCUAGUUGGCGGGGUAAAGGCCCACCAAGGCGACGAUCCGUAGCUGGUCUGAGAGGAUGAUCGGCCACACUGGAACUGAGACACGGUCCAGACUCCUACGGGAGGCAGCAGUGGGGAAUAUGGGACAAUGGGCGCAAGCAUGAUCCAGCGAGACCGCGUGGGAGAAGAAGGCGUUCGGGUUGUAAAGACCUUUUGUUGGGAAAGAAAAGCAGCAGGUUAAUACCCCGCUGUUCUGACGGUAACCAAAGAAUAAGCACCGGCUAACUUCGUG
RNAcentral lists this ribosomal RNA (491 nucleotides) under uncultured bacterium. RNAcentral describes it as "partial 16S ribosomal RNA". It matches the Rfam family "Bacterial small subunit ribosomal RNA", at positions 29 to 507 of the family's 1533-position model. The record is from RNAcentral.